Molecule: ribosomal RNA, 30 nt
Filed under: Dujonia santamariae
Lineage: Eukaryota; Fungi; Ascomycota; Pichiomycetes; Serinales; Debaryomycetaceae
Description: [Candida] santamariae partial 26S ribosomal RNA
Source: RNAcentral
UGACCUCAAAUCAGGUAGACUACCCGCUGA